AUUGAACGCUGGCGGCAUGCCUUACACAUGCAAGUCGAACGGCAGCACGGGAGCAAUCCUGGUGGCGAGUGGCGAACGGGUGAGUAAUAUAUCGGAACGUGCCCAGUCGUGGGGGAUAACGUAGCGAAAGCUACGCUAAUACCGCAUACGAUCUAUGGAUGAAAGCGGGGGAUCGCAAGACCUCGCGCGAUUGGAGCGGCCGAUAUUAGAUUAGGUAGUUGGUGAGGUAAAGGCUCACCAAGCCGACGAUCUGUAGCUGGUCUGAGAGGACGACCAGCCACACUGGGACUGAGACACGGCCCAGACUCCUACGGGAGGCAGCAGUGGGGAAUUUUGGACAAUGGGCGCAAGCCUGAUCCAGCAAUGCCGCGUGCAGGAUGAAGGCCUUC
Molecule: ribosomal RNA, 389 nt
Filed under: uncultured bacterium
Lineage: Bacteria
Description: bacterial SSU rRNA
Rfam family: Bacterial small subunit ribosomal RNA
Source: RNAcentral